Molecule: long non-coding RNA, 19881 nt
Filed under: Lactuca sativa (garden lettuce)
Lineage: Eukaryota; Viridiplantae; Streptophyta; Magnoliopsida; Asterales; Asteraceae
Description: long non-coding RNA (LSAT_LNC001357)
Source: RNAcentral
CGAUAAGUUCUCAUGUUUCGUGUUGCAUAGACAUACAUAGAGAGACAUAGCAAUACAAUAGCAAUCAUGUUUGAUACAAAUCAAUUUAAAUACAACAUGCAAAUAAUAGGUUUUCUGGACAUGCUUUUCCACCCCGAAACAUAAAAACUGAAAAUAGGGAAUGCGUGAAUACUCACAAUGUUUCGAGUAGGUACAAGUGGUGCCUCAGAAUACACCAACGUCUUACUACCAGGAUCCUACGACAUCAAACACACACUAGUGAGUUUCCAUGUCAAAAUCUAAUGCUAAUAUACUAAACUCUACAUAUAGAGAAAUGCCAAAUUUAUGUUCUAAUAUCGGUUUUAUAUUAAUUGGUUACAAUUUUUCUAAAAUCAUGAAAUUCUAUAAAUCAUGUGAUUAAGACAAUUUUGGAUAUUAAUUUUCCAGAUUUAGUAAUAUAAAUUGAGGGUAUUUCGACACAUUUAAAGGUGUUUUAAAUUCCUAAAAAUUUAAAAUAUUAUCAAACAGUUUCCAAAAAUUGUCAAACCUUGUAUUUUCAUUCUUAAUACAGUAUAGGUCUUCUAGAAAAUUUCCCUUACAUUUUUGAUAUGGUUAACUAUUUUUCCAAAUUUCUAAGCCUUCAUAACGACAUAAAUUCAUGAAAAAUAGCAUCCAAAGGAUAAAAAUUCUCAAAAUUAUUAUAUUACUGUUAUUCAACAUUAUUAUGUUAGAAAAAAUAUAAAAAUGGAUUUCAAAGCUGUUUAACCCAAUUUUAUGAUUUUUGAGAAUUUAUUCCAAUAAAAACUGAAAUAAAUAGAAACCAGUUUCCAAAAUUACCCAAACUUUUUAUUUUACUGUUUUUGUACAUAUAAAAGCUGUGAAAAAUAUAAACGAUAUUUUUCAUAUGGUCGUUCUAUUUUUCUUUGUUUUUAUCACCUUAAAUAAUCAUUAAUUAAAGAAUAAAUAAUAAACUGUUAAAGUAAAUACCAAAAAUUUUUGUAACAUCAUUUACAAUGUAAGUGAUCUGGGCAAAAUACCAAAAGUGAUUUUCAUAUUGUAUAAUCUGGUUUUGUGUAUUUAUGUGUAUUUAAGUAUAUUUAAGUAAAUUUAACCUUAGAAAAUAGAAGAAAAAUAGUAUACAGUAGAGAAAACUCAUCAACAUUUUUAUGUAGCCUCCUAAUGUACAGCAAGAUGUACUAGUAAAUUUUCAUGAAUUUUGGAUGAUAAGAACUAUUUGUUUCUAUAUUUAGGCCAUUAUAAUUACAAAAAUUGGGGAAAAAUAGAAAGGCAUGAUGAAAAAUUCUGAAAUUAUUUUUUUGAGUCUCCCACCUCAGCUAAGAGCUGCGAAAAUUGUUAGAUAUAAUUUUUAUACCCUCUAAAGUGGUUUUGAGAUUUAUUGGACCCAAACAAAAAGAAAAUCAAAAGUCAUACUAAACAGAAACAUAAAUUGAUGAAACUUAAUGAGACGCUAUUAUUUACCAUAGGGGUCAGGAUUUAUAGACCUCUGAAAGUAUUUUAUGUGAUUUAUGCCCUUGUCUUCUUGUAACAAUUUUAAUAAAUCAAAGAAAUGAUAAAAACUCUUGGGAUUUUCCAGAUAUUCAUAUUAUCUUAAUGGGAAUCUGGAAAAUUUUUAUUUCAAACAGAAAAGAAUUUUAGAUAUUUUUAUAAAUAAAAUCAUUUAUAUGCACUAUUAACAAUGUACUUUGAUCAUCAAGCUCUUUAGCUUGCUGUUCAUCACAUGCAUCAUGGUUUGAAGACCAUGCAUGGACAUAUGUUUGUCAUAGUGAUGUUUUUAAAGGAAAUACUUGAAUGUAUAAGGUGUAUGGACCUUUAAAACUUGUAAAAAUCCGAACUUUAGUGUUUGACAUAGGUUUUGGUCCUUGGAUUUCACCAUUAAACAACAUGCAUGUUGUUCUUGUGUGAAACCCUACCACCAUCAUCAUCAAACUCGACAUUCAUGAACAUGUUCAUGAAUGUUCAUAAAUAAUGGUGUAGAAGGAAGAGAAGUACAAGAAAACCUUUUAAAACAAGAAGGAAAUGUAAGGAAGGGUGAAAGAUUUUCGUGGAUACCUUGAAGAAUACCCUUAGAAGAUUAAGAUUUGAGUGUGGAGAGGUGUUCUUGACUGAAUAUUUUUGUGAGUUUAGAGAGAGAGAGGAGGAGAGUUUGAGAGUUGAAGGGUGGAGUGUGAGAGAGAGUGAAGAGAGAAGUGGAAGUGUAGGAAAUGAGUUUAAUGAUUGAAAUUUUGGGAUGAGAGAGCAUGGGGGAGAAGGGGUGCCAGAUUUUUGAGUGUAUUAAAGGCCCUCUCUCUCCUAAUUUAAAUUAAAUACAUUUCCCUCUUUAAUUUUUAUAAAACCCUAAUUUUUAUAAAAGUGCUUCUUUAAGUAAUUCUUGAUUUACUUAAAAAUCUUUGUUUUUAACUAAUAAAUUAUGAUUAAUGUUUGAUAAGUUAAAUUUUUAUGUCUUUGAUUAUAUCCCAUAAUUUGAUUAUUAAAAUUUGAUAUUAGGAAGUUUAUAGCCAAUUUUAUAAAGUUUUUAAGCUUUAAGGUUUAUAAAUUAGGAUUUUGGCUCUUUAGGGUUUUUGGAACAUUGUUUGAUAUUCACUAUCAUAUUUGAAUGAAAUUAGAAUAUUUUAAUUUAUUUUUAGGGUUUUAUACCUGAUAUGUGUAUUUUUAUAUAUAUUUUUAUACACUUUAUCUUAAUAUUUUGGCCUUAUUUAUUCUAUUUUAGAACUAAAAAGUACUCAUAAUACUUUGAAUUAUGUUUUGCAGCUAUUUGUUGUCGAUAAAGCACAAAAGAAAAGACUGAAGCGGAAACCGGACUUAGAAGCUAAAAGAAAGAAAAGAAUGCUGAGGUAGCGAGUACGCCCCGCGUAAUGAAAUGGUACGCGCCGCGUACAGACUUGCCUCGGAUAGACUUGAUCGCGUGAUUAUCUUGAGUACGCGCUGCGUAAUCCUAAGUACGCCCAGCGUACUUAGGUCGGCCACAAAGACUAUAAAUGUCGAUUUUUAGCUAACCAGGAAGGGGGAUUCGACUUCUAACCUAAUUUAGUCGACAAUUAACUUCUGUUAAGCCGUUUUGAGGGUCUAGAAGGCGGCCGGAAGGCCGUUAAGCUAACGGGAGCAGAGAUCGGAAGGAUUGGAGAGCGGAUACAUGUCGAUUAUCAUAUGGAUUGCUGACGUGACCAUGUUUAGCAUUCCAUUGUGGUACUUUUCUGUAUUUAGUUUCUGAUUUAGGUGUAAAAACCUUUUACUUUGUGUUUAUGAUUGAAUGAAGCUUUGAUUAUUAGACUAAUUGCUAUAUUAAAUAGUUUAUUUGUGUUUAAUUUAUCUUGCCAAGCUUGUUAAAAGAUCCUCAUGUGUUAAUGAUGAUUAUUUUCUGUUAAUUGUUAAGUGAAUUAAGUUGUAUGAACAUCUGCUUGAUUUGCUUGUCUCUUAUGAUUUUUGAUGACCAUCGAGAUUAUAAGACUAGAAAUAACGAAUGUGAAACUAGGAUUAAUUUGAGAAUAAGUAAGUUAAUGUGUGAGCCUUGUUUGAUGACCAUCAACAAGAGGUUGAUUAAAUGUCUAAAUUGAUUAACUAUAUUUACAAGUCUUGCUUGAUACGAACUGAACACUAGGAAGCAUGUUAGUUUAAUCAACUGAUCACUGUUUAAAUUGACUUGUUUGCUAAAGGAUUAGUUAUAGUGAACGCGAAUCUAAUCAUUUUAGGAAUCGGUGAACAUGAAUAAAUGAAUUUGUGUAUGCAAUUGUCUAUGUUUUUAAGGUGUAAUUUAUCUAAACCAAAGUACCUGAAGAGAUGUGCUUUCCUGUUAGUUUAUCGAAAGUUGUUAAUUGUUAGUUUGAGAUUUAUUAAACCAUUUUCUUUAUUAUUUUCGUGUGACAUAUAACCUAUAACCAAAUAUAUUAAAUUAAUCCACCGUUCCCUGUGAUCGACACCCGACUUACCUAAGCUAUACUGUAAUCUGACUAGGUACACUGCCUAUAAGUGCAUAGAUAGUCUAAGUUUGUUAGGUUAUAAAUAUUAAAAUUAGUGGGUACUUUUGUGCACAUCAAGUUUUUGGCGCCGUUGCCGGGGAACGGCUUGUCAUUAAUUUAUUUUAUUUGAUUAUUCGUUAUUUGUUUUUAGUUAGUUUUUAUUUUUAGCUUUUAUUUUUAGUUGAUUUCCGAUGAUAUCAUUUCACUUAUCGGGAAGGUUCUUGUUUUUAUUUUGCAGGAAUUUGGGAUUGUACACAUUGCUUGACUUUACUUUUUGCAUGGGUUUCGAGAAUUAAAGCGAUUAGGGAAUUCUUGACCUGCUUAGCCUACUACUUUGUCGAAUUUGUCCAACUCAAUCCAUGAGGCGUAGUAUAGCAAGGCGUAUUGUGGUGGUUAAGUGGAAGACCGAGCUCUUGCUGUUCUUGACUAGUUAGGUCACUUCUUGUUCCGCUUUUAGUUAAAGGUGCAAGGAAAACAAAGGAAAUAUUCUAACGGGUCCCGAAAGUGGGUGUUUUCGCAAACCAAUUCUUGCAUGCAAAGGUUUUUGAUCAACCAUUGUUGUUUGAUCUUGACAAAGAUAAGUGAUUAUGACAUCUCAACUUUUUAUCACUCAUCGUGAAGUCAUCAUUAGCUAAGGAAAUUAAAAAUAAUAAUAAUAAUAAAUAAAUAAAUAGUUAUGUUUUAAGCCCUUAAUUAAAUAUUUAGAAAGAAAAGGAAGUUAAAUCAGAGGGUAGUAAAAAUUUGAAAAAUACAAAUUACGCCCCGCGUAAGUUUAAUUACGCCAUGCGUAAUGUGCCCCGGAUCGCGAAUGAACAUUUCAGGGGGUUGAGGUACGCCCCGCGUACCCUUGAGUUACGCCCCGCGUAACACGGCGACCAGGUAUAUCUUUUGACCCUUUGACUUCUUCUUUAUUCUUUUCCCAUUUCUUCUCUCAAACUUGCACUGUGACGGCCGAGCUCUCCUCAACAUUUUCGAUUGUGCUUCUUUUCUUGUAAAAUUCGACACACGGGUAAGUAUUUCGGAUACUCAAUAGCUCGGAUUUAUGUUUAAUUUGAUGAAAUAAGCUGCAUUAUGCCUUUGUUUGAAAUCUAGGGUUCGUGUAUUUUUCGAAUUAGGGGUCGAUUUCACACAUUCGUGUUUGAUUAUGGCUUAAAUGGACCGAUUUCGAUCCAUAGACUAAACCCUAGGACCUUAUUUGGUAUUAAUUCCGUCCCAUGACCGCCGAUUUGAACUUGGGGACGGACGCCUAGCGUACGCCCUAUUCUCCGUUUGUUUUUAAAUACCCACAUAGUGUUGCUAAUCUUGAAUAGACAAAGAACGAACAGGGGAUUGAUUCCUAUUAUUGGACAUAUUUUAAGGGUGGUCCCGUUUUUUUUUUACUGCUUAUGGACCACUCGAUUUGAACUUGUGUUGAUGCCCCUGCUGUGUUUGUUUGGAUAUGGGUUAUGACCUUAGCACAAGAAAAGGGACUGGGACCAGGAUACAGAAUCGCAAGCCUGGACUUACGCCCAGCGUAUGCUGGAUGUACGCCCAGCGUACUGCCCCUAUCCAACUCCAUUUUUUUGGUUUAAAAAUCUAUUAAUGCUGCCAUAUUUUGUUGGUUUUGUGUUUUUGUGUUAAUAUGUGCAGAUUAUGGCUCAAAGGACACAAAGAACCAACCCUCCCGAGGAUGUGACCGAUCAUCGCUUUUUACAAUUUCCGCAAACGCUGAACGAUGCUACCCGGGCGCGUUAUGUCACCAACUUGAGCUUGCUUCUCACAAAGGAGAUUGAUAUUGCACCCUCAUUCGACUGGGAGUUGGCUACCAGGACUGGACUUGCUGCAUUGAUCCAGGAAUUUUUGCAAUACACACACUCGGACGCGAGUGGUGUGGAAUUGUUUGUGUGUCAGGGAUGGGCGCGUUUGUUCAGGAUCCAGGAGCUUGUGUAUCGGGAGUUUUUGCUGGAGUUCUACGCUACAGUUUCCUAUGAUCCUAGGAAGGCACUCGAUGACAGGACAGCCUUUGCUUUCAGAUUGGGAGGAGUAAGCCGGGAAUGCAGCGUGAUAGAGCUUGCGGCUCGGGUGGGUAUUUACACAGUCGAUGAGAUGAGGAGUGUUCACUUCCCGACAUUCCUUGCUGAUUAUCUCAUGGACCGGCCGGAGGACUAUAAUGAGAACACAUUUUGGGCCGAGAUUACGGGAGGAGUUUAUACACCAUCUACCGCUCGAGGGGGGAUGAUUCGGUCCACUACAUACCGAAUGUUGCACCGGUUGAUUUCUAUGUCUCUCACGCAUCACAAGAAUAGUGAGAGAGUGCCUUCGACGGACCUGUAUUUCCUAUGGGCACUAGUUACUCCAGGGAGGCACCUGAACCUUCCAGUUGCUUUAGCUGCAUACUUGGGACGGAGGGCCAGGGGACUUAGGGGAGAUAGCCCGAUAUGCGGAGGGCAUUUUAUCACACGGUUAGCUCGAUCAUACCAGUUGAUGACACGUGAGAUCACGAGAUCGAUGGUGUUUCACGACAUGAGGCCGAUGAGUCUUCAGCUAUUGGAGUCGAUGCGCGUAUUAGAGCGGGGUGGUGAUGGUGUUUUGAGGGUUCGAGCAGAUGAUGAGGCAGAUGAGGAGGGUGCUGCCGAGACGGGUACCGCGGCGUAGACCUGCUCCUCGGGGAGCGCAGCAGGGACCUGAGCGGGAGAUUGAUAUGCGCUACCUGGCUCAGGGCAUUGACCGUCUUAGCGAGUAUGUUGCACAUGUGGACAUGCAACAGCAGUGGUAUGGGAAUGCGUUGAACGCAUUCUUUGCCCACCAGGGGUUUCAGUAUUCGGUUCCCUUUCCACCACCAUUCCAGUCACGAUUUGAUGGGGCCGGUACUUCUGGGACACAGCCACAUGAUGAUGGAGAUGACGAGUGAUCCUUUUUAUUUUGUUUUAUUUGUUUUGUGUUAUUUUUAGUUUAGUUUAGUUUUUAGUAUUUGGUAUGUAAUUAAACUUUGAUUUAGUUUGAUUUAGUUUGUUUUCCAUGUUGAUGCUCUUUGGUUGUUUAGAUUUCUGCAGAAUUUUCGCCCUUAGGAAGCUGGCAGUAAGUUCAGCAGCUAGGUCCGACUGUUGCUAGAGAGAGCGGUAUGAGAGUUGAAGAUUAUAGUCGAGACCCACGAUUUGUCAUAAGUGUGGGGUGCAUAUUUAUUUCGUGAGCGAUCGUUUUGAAGAUUGGCAUUGUUACGAUGUUUUGACUCUUAUGAUAUGGAUGAGCAGUUCCCAUACCAUAGAGUUUUAUUUCGACGCGAGGAAGAAGUAUCGUCCCGGUUGCCACGACAUGGUUGACAUUUUCCUAUGUCAUGGGGGAUUUUUCAUCGCGAGUAGAGGAUGUCAUUCUCGACGAGACGACGUGGUCGACACUUUCCCACGUCAUGGUUACUAUACUUUGCAUUUAUUUGCAAUAUUUUGCACCACAUUUUUGAAGAUGGCGGUCUUGAUUUUAUUUUUCGGCAAAUUCAGAGGCAGCAGUUCCAGUUUUCAGUCUUUCGGCGAUAUUUGAAGCAACUUGUAGCAGCCCCAUUCGAUCUCGCCACAACUACCCAGGGGAGUCUGUUCCUUUUUCUCCCUUUUUAUGUUCUUAAUUUGUUUUAGCAUACAAUGAGGGCAUUGUAUGAAAUAAGUGUGGGGUAGGGGAUCGGUAAAAGUAAAUUAAAAUUAAGAGAAAAAUGAAAUUGCUAGAAUUUGGAAAAUUUAAAAAUUUGAAAAAAAAUUGAAAUAAUAGUUUAAUUUAGAAAAAUCUAGUGAUAAUUUAAAUUUUUGCUAAUAUUGUAUGAAAUGAUCCGAUGAGAACUCAAAUGUUUAGUUGAGCCAAUAUACGUUAUAGUGCAUUUGUGGCCUCCCUUAUUUUAGUGAAAUCAUGGAACAAAAACAUAACCCCGCUUGGUUUGAGGGAUGCAAUAUGUUUAGCAGCCUAAACCUGAAAUGUAUCCAGGAAAAUUAUUAUCAUUAACCAAUAAAGGUUGAGGUUGAGCGCCUCUGCUUAAGCAUGUAGGUUUUGAGUGAAAAAAAAAGUGAGUUACAUGUAAAAAAAAAAAGAAAGAAAGAAUUACGGAAAAUUUUUUUGAAGAAUUUUGGAGAAAAUAAAGUGAAGAUCAAAAGAUCAAAAUUCUGAAGAAAUCCAAAAAGUUGAAGAUACCAGAAAUCAAUUCAAAUAAGGUGUUGAAUUCAAAGAAAUCAAAGAUCAAAAUGCCAAAGAAAUGAAGAAUUCAAAUAAAGCUCCAUAGUGGUAUCAUAAAUUGUAAUUCUAGAAUAUGUAUGCUUAGGUUGCUCAACUAAAAAUACCUUGAGGUUAGGAGGUUUUCUGCGGAUGGAUUCGGAGGGUUGCAUAAAAUGAGCAUUGUUCGGAAAAAGUGGGCGAGUGUUUAUGAAGAUUGUGAGUAUUUAAAAUAUGGGGGGGUCCUUUAGGAAAAUAUUAGACACAAAUGUACGCGUUGAGGUCUUGGCAUAAUGGCUGAGUUUUAAAUGGAUUGUUUAGUGCGAUAUUGGUAAAAUAAAAGUAAAUUUGCUUGGGGGCAAGCAAAGGCUAAGUGUGGGGUAUUUUGAUAUGUGUAUUUUUAUAUAUAUUUUUAUGCACUUUAUCUUAAUAUUUUGGCCUUAUUUAUUCUAUUUUAGAACUAAAAAGUACUCAUAAUACUUUGAAUUAUGUUUUGCAGCUAUUUGUUGUCGAUAAAGCACAAAAGAAAAGACUGAAGCGGAAACCGGGCUUAGAAGCUAAAAGAAAGAAAAGAAUGCUGAGGUAGCGAGUACGCCCCGCGUACCUUAAGGUUACGCCCCGCGUACCUGCUUGUGCCAGAUAUACUUGAUCGCGUGAUUAUCUUGAGUACGCGCUGCGUAAUCCUAAGUACGCCCAGCGUACUUAGGUCGGCCACAAAGAUUAUAAAUAUCGAUUUUUAGCUAACCAGGAGGGGGGAUUCGACUUCUAACCUAAUUUAGUCGACAAUUAACUUCUGUUAAGCCGUUUUGAGGGUCUAGAAGGCGGCCGGAAGGCCGUUAAGCUAACGGGAGCGGAGAUCGGAAGGAUUGGAGAGCGGAUACAUGUCGGUUAUCAUAUGGUUUGCUGACGUGACCAUGUUUAGCAUUCCAUUGUGGUACUUUUCUGUAUUUAGUUUCUGAUUUAGGUGUAAAAACCUUUUACUUUGUGUUUAUGAUUGAAUGAAGCUUUGAUUAUUAGACUAAUUGCUAUAUUAAAUAGUUUAUUUGUGUUUAAUUUAUCUUGCCAAGCUUGUUAAAAGAUCCUCAUGUGUUAAUGAUGAUUAUUUUCUGUUAAUUGUUAAGUGAAUUGAGUUGCUUGAACAUCUGCUUGAUUUGCUUGUCUCUUAUGAUUUUUGAUGACCAUCGAGAUUAUAAGACUAGAAAUAACGAAUGUGAAACUAGGAUUAAUUUGAGAAUAAGUAAGUUAAUGUGUGAGCCUUGUUUGAUGACCAUCAACAAGAGGUUGAUUAAAUGUCUACAUUGAUUAACUAUAUUUACAAGUCUUGCUUGAUACGAACUGAACACUAGGAAGCAUGUUAGUUUAAUCAACUGAUCACUGUUUGAAUUGACUUGUUUGCUAAAGGAUUAGUUAUAGUGAACAUGAAUCUAAUCAUUUUAGGAAUCGGUGAACAUGAAUAAAUGAAUUUGUGUAUGCAAUUGUCUAUGUUUUUAAGGUGUAAUUUGUUUAAACCAAAGUACCUGAAGAGAUGUGCUUUCCUGUUAGUUUAUCGAAAGUUGUUAAUUGUUAGUUUGAGAUUUAUUAAACCAUUUUCUUUAUUAUUUUCGUGUGACAUAUAACCUAUAACCAAAUAUAUUAAAUUAAUCCACCGUUCCCUGUGAUCGACACCCGACUUACCUAAGCUAUACUGUAAUCUGACUAGGUACACUGCCUAUAAGUGCAUAGAUAGUCUAAGUUUGUUAGGUUAUAAAUAUUAAAAUUAGUGGGUACUUUUGUGCACAUCAAUACCCUUUUUCAAUUGUAACAAAUGUUUGGAGUUUUAUUCUAAUUAUGGUAUUGGCAUUUCCAAUUGUAGCUAAACAACUUACUAAAAUCGUAAGAGUCAAGUAUAUUAGUCCUAGAUUUUAGUUGGAUCCUAGUUUAUGCAAGAUUUUGACCUAAUUUAUACUACUAGGCCAUGGCAUGUUGUGCAUGAAUUGUUUUUAUAAAGAUUCAUGAGUCCGAGAAUGACCUGAAUUGACAGUUGUCAUAGUAUCUCACACUUAAAAAGAAUUUCGUCCCAAAAUUCAUUCUAUGUCAUCGGAUGGGAAAAGUUGUGGAUACUUUUCCUUCAUGAAGUCCUCAUGCUCCCAAGUGUACUCCGGACCGCGUUUUGAGUUCCAUCGAACUUUCACAAUCGGAAUCUUACUCCGCUUAAGUUGUUUCACCUCCCUGUCAAGGAUUUCUAUCGGUUCCUCAACAAAGUUUAGCUUAUCAUUGAUCUUAAUUUCCUCCAUAUGUACUAUCAAUGCUUCAUCGGCUAAACAUUUCUUAAGAUUGGAGACAUGGAAGGUGUCGUGAAUGGCGCUUAACUCUUGGGGUAAUCGGAGUUUAUAUGCCACCAGACCAAUCCUUUCAAUGAUCUCAAAGGGUCCAACAUAUCUUGGGCUUAGUUUUCCUUUCUUACCAAAACGUACAAGCCCUUUCCAAGGUGACACCUUUAGAAGUACCUUGUCUCCAAAUUGGAAUUCUAAUGGUUUUCGACGAUUAUCCGCAUAACUUUUCUGACGAUCUAUGGCGGCUUGAAGCCUAUCUUUGAUGAUAGCAAUCUUGUCAGUUGUUUCCUGGAUAAGGUCGAGUCUAGUCAAUUGUCUGUCUCCGAUUUCUGUCCAACAUAAUGGAGAACGACAGUUGCAUCCAUACAAUGCUUCAUAUGGAACACAUUAGAUACUCGUGUGAUAACUGUUAUGGUAGGAAAACUCAAUUAGAGGCAAAUGAGUAUCCCAAUUUCCUUUGAACUCAAUAACCUUAUCUUUUUGCUUUAACACACAUCCUAAUCCUUGAUGAGAUGCAUCACAAUACACUACAAAGUUCUCUGAUCCUUCUGGUAAGGCCAGAAUUGGUGCAUUGCACAGCUUGUUUUUCAGGAUUUGGAACGCCUCUUCGUGUUUCUCUUCCUAGAGAAAUUUUCUGUCAUUUUGAGUCAAAGAUGUUAAUGGUUGAGCAAUCCUAGAGAAAUUUUCAAUGAAGCGUCUGUAGUACCCAGCUAAUCCUAGGAACUGUCGUAUUUCUGUCGGGGUUUUGGGGGCUUCCCAUUUCUUGAUUGCCUCAAUCUUACAUGGAUCUACAUGAAUUCCUCUUUCGCCAAUCACAUGACCAAGGAAAUGUACUUCCCGAAUCCAAAAUUUGCACUUAGUGAACUUGGCAUACAAUUUCUGCUCCUUCAACAACUCCAACACUAGCUUCAGAUGUCUAUUGUGAUCUUCUUUGGUUUGCGAGUAAACAAGUAUGUCAUCGAUAAAUACAAUUACAAACUUGUCUAGGUAUGGUCUACAGACCCUAUUCAUCAAAUCCAUGAAAACAACGGGUGCGUUCGUUAGUCCAAAAGGCAUAACUAAGAACUCAUAAUGUCCAUAACGGGUUCUAAAGGUUGUUUUGUGAAUGUCCCCUUCGUGAAUUCUUAGUUGAUGAUAUCUAGACCGAAGGUCGAUCUUUGAGAAGUAUGAAGCGCCCUGCAACUGAUCGAACAAGUCAUCUAUUCGAGGGAGGGAAUAUCGAUUCUUGAUUGUCAACUUGUUCAGUUCUCUGUAAUCAAUGCACAUUCGGAACGACCCGUCUUUCUUUUUGACGAAUAACAUUGGGGCUCCCCAAGGUGAAGAUCUUGGUCAAAUAAAGCCUUUGUUUAGAAGUUCUUGAAGUUGUCCGGAUAGUUCUUGCAUCUCGGAUGGCGCGAGGCGAUAUGGUGCUUUUGCUACCGGUGUCGCUCCGGGAAUUAAGUCUAUCCAAAAUUCGACCUGCCUGUGAGGGGGUAGACCGGGUAAUUCCUCCGGAAACACUUCGGGAUAGUUUUGAACCACCGGAAUCUCCUUGAGUUGCUUAGCUUCAGGUUCUCUUUCUAGCACGUGGGCCAUGAAUGCAAUCAAUUCUUCUUCAGGUACUUGUGAAUCUUCAUGCUUGAUACAAUGUUUAAACUUCUUCCUGGCUUCUCACCAUGUAUGAUAAGGGUUUCUCCAUUAGGGAGAGGUACCCUAAUGACUCUCUCAUAACAACCAAUCUCCACUCUAUUUUUGGAUAACCAAUCCAUUCCUACUAUUACAUCAAAACGACCUAGCUCUGUAGGAAUUAGGUCAAUGCUAAAGAGUUUAUCAGCUAAAUUCAGAGUACAGUCAAGAAUUAUUUCAUUAGCCCUAAUUUCAUAUCCAUCAGCAAGUUCAAUAGCAUAAGCAUUCCUCAUCUUUCUUGAUCUCAAGUCAAUUAACGGUCUAAAUGCUAAAGAAACAAAACUCCUAUCUGCUCCCGCAUCGAAUAUUACUGAUGCAAAAUGAUUGUUCAGGAGAAACGUACUUGUUAUCACCUCAGGGUUCUGAAGAGCUUCUUUUGCACCAAUCACAAAGGCUACACCUCUUGGCCGCCCACCAUGAUUUCCUUGGAAGUUUUUCCUGGCUUGGCCUUGUCCGUUGAUACCACGCACGUUGUUCAGUUUGGGACAAGCACUACGGAGAUGAUCAGUACUCCUGCACUCGUAACAUGCCCUUUUUCCAUCCUUAUUCAGCUUACAAUACUUCGAGUAAUGGCCUGUUUGUUUACAGUUUUGGCACACUGGGCAAGAUCCUUUGUGUUGGAAGUUACACUUAUUGCACUUCGGAAGCGGUCCUGAGUACUGCUUUCGCUCCUGCACUUCCAUGACUUCCGGUUCCUGAGUUUUCACUGGUUCCUGCUCCUGGGCUCUUACCAUAAAGUUUCUUGAGACUUUCUGCUUCCUCCCUGACUUGCCUCCAUACUUCUUCUCUCCCUGAUCUGCCGGCUUCCUCUUGCUACUAGAGUUUUCCCUUGUCGAUGCUCCCAUCCUUAUCACAUCAUUGGUUAGUCGAUUUGCUAGACUCACUGCACUUUGAAUGGUAGUUGGGUUUGCUGAAGUAACCAUUCCCCGAAUCUCUGGUGCCAGACCCCAGAUGUAACGAUCUAUCCGUUUCUCCUCAGGAGUAACCAUAUGAGGUACCAGUUUUGCUAGUUCAUGAAAUCGGACUGUGUACUUCUCUAUUUGUGUUCCAACCAUAGAAUGGUUCAAGAACUCAGAUUCAAGCUUCUGAAUUUCAUCCUUGGUACAAUACUCCUCUAUCAGUAGCUUCUUUAGGUCUUCCCAAGUUAGCUGAUAUGCCGCUGCACUGCCUCAGGUUUGCACUAGAGUAUUCCACCAGGUCAAUGCCCUAUCUUGGAGUAGACAAGUUGCAUACUCAACUUUGUUGCGCUCGAGACAUUUGCUAAUGUGAAGGACCGACUCCAUGCUGUCAAUCCAUUUCAGCAACCCGACCGCACCUUCCUUUACGUCGAACUCCUUAGGUUUACAGGCCAUAAAGGACUUGUAGUUGCAUUCGCUUUCAUUGUUUCCCCGGUUUCCUCCACUACUUCCUUGGUUAGCAUUAAGACCCGUAGUUACUUGAGUAACAAUGUUUGGGAUUGCUGCCAUGAGUUGUUGUGCUACAACUUGAGCAACAUCGGGUGUUUCGUUCUGUGGGCGCCUGCGAUUAGGCCUUCCUGACAUGGUUCUAAGACACAAGAGAAGAAAUACGUAUAAAUACAUAAAAUAAUGUAUAAUAUUUAGCUCACUACUAUUUUGAAAACCAUAAGUGUUGUCAAAUUAAUGGGUUGCAUUAAUACUAUGCAUACAGAUUUGAGAAAGGAAAGAAAAAGAAAAAUCUUUUUUCUAUUCAACCAUUGACUAAAUAAAUUCUAGGGUUUGACCUCAUUGUAAAAGUUUUCAAACAUAAAAAUAUACUUCUUCAUUACCAUUGAAAUAGUCUUAAAACCAAAACAAUACAUCAAUCCCCAAAAUAAAGUUUUAAAUGUUUUUCCCAAAAGACACCCAACAUGGGUUUUCGUUUCAUGACAAGAUAAAAUAAAAUACUGAAAUCAGAACCAAAUACUAAUCGCUAUCCCAAAAAAGAAACAUCAACACCACAAUCAGUUAUAGCCCUCCAAGCACAUAAUAUGCGGUUAUCGCACGACCUGCCACUCAUCUAGCAGCACAAGCAGUGUCAGCAGGCUCCAUCGAAUGCUGAAACAUGAUUUCCAUACUUGUCAACACUUCAUCCAAAAUGUCCCGAUGCCCAGCUAUCACAGCGAGACUGUGACGUAGGCCCGCUGCCAUCGACUGUAAUCUCCGGGACUCCUCCGGGGUCAUACCUGGGUUCCUGACAGGUAUCCCUAUGACUCGCUGUGGUGAGGGUGCUCUCGGUCCUGUAUUGUUGGGUCCUACCCUACUAGGCCCUGCCGUGCCAAGUCCUGCUGUACUGGUUGCUAUCCUUCCUGGAAUACGAACACUCUUCCUCGCCGUCCUCCGAAUAUGAAGUCCAUAAAGUGGUGGCUGUGGCAACACCGAUACAGGCGAUGCCUCGCAUUGCUGACUCGGGGCGUUGUCGUUGCUAAUCUCCACCGAGUCUCUCGUAUCUUCUGUGUCCUCCGAGGGGUCUUCUUCCACCAUGGCGGGGGGAUCACGUCGAGGGAUAACAGUGACAUAGCCGGACUCAUCAGCUGAGGCGGCAACGCGAGACGAUGACGAUGUCGACAUAGUGGACUGAGACAUAGUUUCAAUGAGAUAUGAAAUAAAUGACAAUGCAUGCCUAUAAUAUGCAAUGCUUACACACACCAAAAUUAACCUUUUCGAAUUUUUAAAAUAAAGUUUUCUCAAAAAUUUGUUGAACAUAUUCCCAUUAUAAUUAGCUCAAGCUUUGUAUAAUUCUUUCCUUAAUUAAACAUAGGUGAUCAGGCUAUGUUUAAUUGAGGUCCAACGAUACAACUCCCGACCUAAUUAUAUUAGUAAUAGGUUUUAUAUAAAGAGAAUUUUUAUAAGUUUUGGUUAUAGGUUGUGUUUUCUUAAAGGAAAACUGAUGUUCUCUAUAACUUUAGCUAUGAUACCACUUCUGUCACACCCCGCUAAAGCGGAAAUGCAAGAUAUGAUAGCGAUAACGGUUUCAUUGCAAAAGAUAAAGAUACAUCACCAUAGCAAUAUUUAAAAGUUUACAAUCCAUAGCUUAAACAAAACAAAGUACAAGUUUUUCCAAAAUAACAUUGUUCAAAAUAUAACUUCAUAACUUCAACACGAUGCAGCAUGCUCUAUGAUGAUGAAUCUUUAUAUCGACUUACUAAUUAUUUCCUGAAAAAGCAUGUAAAACGAGCGUCAACUAUGUAAAUAGUUGGUGAGUUCACAAGUUUAUAAAAUCAAGAUUUGGAAUAAGGCUUUUUAUAAAUACAAGUACAUUGCUUUAAUGAGAAACAAGUUUAUUGCUAUUAUUGAUAACAAGUUUAUUGCUAUAACGAGAAACGAGUUUGUAUGUGUAUGAGCAAACAAUGAGUCUCAACCAAACCUAUGACUAAAGCCCUAUCGAGAUCCAUGCUUAUCGUUCCAUAGAUGAAUAUGGUAUCAUGCACUCCAGCAAUAGGGCGAGUGAGGAGUUGUCAAUUCCUAAUAGCGCUAUCCAUAAUGACCAUUGGCUCAAAGAGUUAAUGGUUAGAGAUAAGGGAAGGGCCUUAGUACGAUAAGUUCUCAUGUUCCGUGUUGCAUAAACAUACAUAGAGAGACAUAGCAAUACAAUAGCAAUCAUGUUUGAUACAAAUCAAUUUAAAUACAACAUGCAAAUAAUAGAUUUUUUGGACAUGCUUUUCGACUCCAAAACAUAAAAACUGAAAAUAGGGGAGUGCGUGAAUACUCACAAUGUUUUGUGUAGGUACAAGUAGUGCCUCGGGAUGCACCAACGUCUUACUACCGGGAUCCUACGACAUCAAACACACACUAGUAAGUUUCCAUAUCGAAAUCCAAUGGUAAUAUACUAAACUCUACAUAUAGUGAAAUGCCAAUUUAUGUUUUAGUAUUGGAUUUUAUAUUAAUUGGUUACACUUUUUCAAAUUUUUAAGUCUUUAUAACAACAUAAAUUCACGAAAAAUGGCAUUCAAAGGAUAAAAAUUAUCAAACUUUUUAUUUAACUGUUAUUACACAAUAUUAAGCUGGAAAAAAUAUAAAAAUGGAUUUCCAAGCUGUUUAAUUAUAUUUUAUGAUUUUUGAGCAUUUAUUCAAAUAAAAAUUGAAAUAAAUAGAAAACAUUUGCCAAAAUUACCCAAACUUUUUAUUUAACUGUUAUUGUACAUAAAUAGGCUGGGAAAAAUAUAAAAGAUAUUUUUCAGUGGUUAUUUCUAUUUUUCCUUGUUUUAUUCCUUUAAAUAAUCAUUAAUUGAAUAAUAAAUAAUAAACAGUUAAAAUAAAUUACCCAAAAUUUUUGUAACAUCAUUUACAGUGUAAUUAAUCUGGGAAAAAUACGAAAAGUGGUUUUCAUAUUGUAUAAUCCGGUUUUGGGUAUUUAUGUGUAUUUAGGUGUAUUUAAGUGUAUUUAACUUUAGAAAAUAGGAGAAAAAUAGUUUACUGUAGAGAAAAAUCAUCACAAUUUUUAUGUAACCUCCUACUGUACAACAUGAUGUUCUGCUAAAUUUUCAUGAAUUUUGGAUAAUCAUAACUCUUUUUCCAAUUUUUAGGCCAUUAUAAUUACCAAAAAUUGGGAAAAAUAGUAAGGCAUGAUGAAAAAUUUGGAAAUUAUUUUUCUGAGUCACCCACCACAGGUAAGGGCUGCGAAAAUUGUUAGAAACAAUUUUCACACUCUCUAAUGUGGUUUUGUGAUUUAUUAUACCCAAACAAAAAGAAAAACGGAAAUUAUACCAAACAGCAACAAAAAUCUAAAUAAAUUUAAUGAGGGGUCAUUAUUCACCAUAGGGGUCAUCCAUGAAAUUAUUCAGAUUUAUAGACCUAUGGAAGUAUUUUAUGUGAUUUAUACCUCUGUUUUCUUGCAAUAAUUUUAAUAAAUCAAAGAAAUGAUAAAAACUCUUGGUAUUUUACAGAUUAUCACAUGCAUGUGAGGGCUUUCAAAAGGAAAAUGUUCAAAAUUUAUUCAGAACGGAAAAUAGGGGUAUUGAACCCAAACAAGUUAAGAAAUGUUGCAGAUUAUAGUGCAUGAGAUGUAAAUGUGGCUGAGGUUCAUGAAUUUGAGGAGCACAUUCUAUGUGGUUUUAAGCCACGAAAUUUCAGUCAUCAUUCACUGGAUAUGUUAAGUUUCUAAAUUAUUUUUCCCCAGAUUUAUGGUUGGGUUUAAGGCCACUGAUCACGCAAGGCAAAAAUGGUGAUCACAGAAAAAGAGCUGUUCGCGCAACCAUUUUGUAAAAAUUGCCAAAAAUCCGAUAUUUAAUAUUUUACAGUGAGACCAGUUGGGUUUGAAAGCUAACUCGUGGAACUAUCCAAUACAAAAAUAAUAUCAGGAUUUGGUUAAGUAAUGACCGAGUUAUGGCCGCUCAAAGCUGAACAAUGUAGUCUGGCAGAUUGCAUGUCUUCCCUGUUUGCUUUGAGUGCAUUCUUAGGGCAUUUUGACAAGAACAACAUGCAUGCUUCUGUUAAGGUCCGAUUUCUAGCACAUGCAUGGAGUGAAUGAGCAUCCAAGAUGUACUAGAAAUGGUUUAAAUGCUUUUGGUCAUGCAAGAACACAAAAGAAAUGGAGAAGAAGAUGUAAUACUCGGUUUUGAAGUCACAUGAACACAUGUGCAUCUUUUUCACUCCUUGCAUGGGUUUGAUCCCGGAUUUUCACCAUCUCAAACACAUGCAUUGUGUUAUGGUGAGAAUCUACAAACCACAAGGGAAAAAGUAAGGAUUUCUAGCCAUGGAAGGGCAUAGAAUCCGAAGAGUAGAGAAGAACCAUGAAGAAGAGGAAGUAAAAUCAUGAAACUAUGAGGGAGGAUUGUGUUGUUUACCUUGGUUUUGAUCUUGAGAGAAGCAAGAACACUUCAAGGCCUUCUCAAUUUCGAAAUUAUGGCAGAGAAUGGAGGAUUUUAUUGAGUUAGAGAGAGAGAGAGGAAGAGAGCUUGAGUGUUAGAUGGGUGGAGUGUGAGAGAAAGUGAAGAGAGAAGUGGAAGAGUGAGGGUUUGAGUUUAAUGAUUGAAUUUUUGGGAAGAUGAAAGCAUGGGGGAGAGAGGGUGCCAGAUUUUUGAGGGUAUUAAAGUGCAUAUGAGUCAAAGUUUAUCUGUUCCUUCUAGCAAUAAAAGCGAUAUCUGGGUGUCACACCCCACUAAAGCGGAAACGCAAGAUAUGACAGCGAUAACGGUUUCAUUGCAAAAGAUAAAGAUACAUCACCAUAGCAAUAUUUAAAAGUUUACAACCCAUAGCUUAAACAAAACAAAGUACAAGUUUUUCCAAAAUAACAUUGUUCAAAAUAUAACUUCAAAAAUAACUUCAACACGAUGCAGCAUGCUCUAUGACGAUGAAUCUUUAUAUCGACUUACUAAUUAUUUCCUGAAAAAGCAUGUAAAACGAGCGUCAGCUAUGUAAAUAGUUGGUGAGUUCACAAGUUUAUAAAAUCAAGAUUUGGAAUAAGGCUUUUCAUAAAUACAAGUACAUUGCUUUAAUGAGAAACAAGUUUAUUGCUAUUAUUGAUAACAAGUUUAUUGCUAUAACGCGAAACGAGUUUGUAUGUGUAUGAGCAAACAAUGAGUCUUAACCAAACCUAUGACUGAACCCUAUCAAGAUCUAUGCUUAUCGUUCCAUAGAUGAAUAUGGUAUCAUGCACUCCAACAAUAGGGUGAGUGAGGAGUUGUCAAUUCCAAAUAGCGCUAUCCAUAAUGACCAUUGGCUCAAAGAGUUAAUGGUUAGAGAUAAGGGAAGGGCCUUAGUAGUAUAAGUUCUCAUGUUCCGUGUUGCAUAGACAUACAUANCUUCUGUCACACCCCGCUAAAGCGGAAACGCAAGGUAUGACAGCGAUAACGGUUUCAUUGCAAAAGAUAAAGAUACAUCACCAUAGCAGUAUUUAAAAGUUUACAACCCAUAGCUUCAAAAGAAACAAAAUACAAGUUUUUGCAAAAUAACACUAUUCAAAGAUAACUUCAUAAAUAACUUCAACACGAUGCAGCAUGCUCUAUGAUGAUGAAUCUUUAUAUCCACUUACUAAUUAUUUCCUGAAAAAGCAUGUAAAACGAGCGUCAACUAUGAAAAUAGUUGGCGAGUUCACAAGUUUAUAAAUCGAGCUUGAAAUAAGGCUUUUCGUAAAUACAAGUACAUUUCUUUAAUGAUAAACAAAGUUGAUUGCUAUUAAUGAAUACAAGUUUAUUGUUGUAACGAGAAACGAUUUUGUAUGUAUAUGAGCAAACAAUGAGUCUCAACCAAACCUAUGACUGAAUCCCUAUCGAGAUCUAUGCUUAUCGUUCCAUAGAUGAAUAUGGUAUCAUGCACUCCAGCAAUAGGGCGAGUGAGGAGUUGUCAAUUCCUAAUAGCGCUAUCCAUAAUGACCAUUGGCUCAAAGAGUUAAUGGUUAGAGAUAAGGGAAGGGCCUUAGUACGAUAAGUUCUCAUGUUCCAUGUUGCAUAGACAUACAUAGAGAGACAUAGCAAUACAAUAGCAAGCAUGUUUGAUACAAAUCAAUUUAAAUACAACAUGCAAAUAAUAGAUUUUCUGGACAUGCUUUUCGACGCCAAAACAUAAAAACUAAAAAUAGGGGAGUGCGUGAAUACACACAAUGUUUCGUGUAGGUACAAGUAGUGCCUCGGGAUGCACCAACGUCUUACUACCGGGAUUCUACGACGUCAAACACACACUAGUGAGUUUUCAUAUCGAAAUCUAAUGCUAAUAUACUAAACUCUACAUAUAGUGAAAUGCCAAUUUAUGUUUUAGUAUUGAAUUUUAUAUUAAUUGGUUACACUUUUUCAAAUUUUUAAGUCUUUAUAACAACAUAAAUUCACGAAAAAUGGCAUUCAAAGGAUAAAA